This 2440-nucleotide long non-coding RNA is filed under the name Capsicum annuum. RNAcentral describes it as "long non-coding RNA (CANN_LNC017942)". Lineage: Eukaryota; Viridiplantae; Streptophyta; Magnoliopsida; Solanales; Solanaceae. The record is from RNAcentral.
UCGUUUCUAGCCAUUUCACAACACAAGUGGAACCUUUCACUUGUGAUCUUAAAAUGUUUGGUGGUCUACUCUCUUCUUGAGAGGAAAUAUGAUGUUCAAUAUUACAAGUGUUUUCAAGAAUGAACUACCUAAAGAACAAGGCUAACGAAAAUGUUUAAAUAGUCUAUUACAAAAGAUAUUGGGAAAGGACUCCUUUGCCCUUAAUGAGGUUGGCGGGUGUGGAGUGUAUUUGGGGAAGCCUUGGGUGUAUUUUUCAGCACCUAAGGCCAGACCUCGUAUGUCAAGGCGUACACUCCCUUGGGCACGUUCACAACAAGCUCAAACGCAUUUAUUUUCAUAAACGUGCCUUGUAGUCUUUGUAGUUCCCGAGCUUGGACAAGGAUUUGAAAAAGGUCUUCAAUUCACUUUGCAAAUCUGAAAUUUGACCUUUAACAAAAACUUGUGAUCCUUGUGCUCCUCAUGCUUGUAGCAUCCUCUCCACAUUCAAAGGAAUUUGUUCUUAAAUUCGCACCUUGCAAAACCAAAGAGAGGGAAAACAAGCACACAAUCCUCAAGAUAGGAGGGUUAAAAUUAGUACCACAAAUUAUAUAGACAUGCCAAGGGCAUACACUUUUGGAAUACAAGCAACAAUUCUUUGUUACGAUCAUGAAACACGUACCAUAAGCAUAACAAAGAACAUGGCUAAGAUAAACAUCAAGGAAAGAGGAGUGCAAUCUGAAACUAUCAUAUAUGUCAUUAAGUCAAGGUUGUUCACAUUUGGAAUAUACCCACGGGUCCUUUGUGUGUGACAUGAAAAACUUAGCAUGAAUGACACAAAGGAAGUGACUUUGGCAAAUAUCAAGAGAUAAGAAAACUACAAUGGUCUUAAUGGCUUUACAAUACCCAAAAGGUAAGACUACCUUUAUCUUAGGAACCAUAAGAUACAUUUGUUUCAUUACCUUUACAAAGGACCUCAUCAAAUAUAGUGCCACUAUUGAUCUUAAGAUCCACCUCAACCACAUAUCACCAUCAUGCAAGCAAGAAAACCAUCCACCAAACUUCCUUCCACUACACAAUACAAAUUCAAAAUUAACAUGGUUAUUAUCAUAGUUAAAGAGGUAGUAUAGAAAGGAAUAAAGUGUGAAGACAUCUUGCCGAGGGCGUACACUUUUAAAAUUUGACCAGUAAUCCUUUAUUUUUACCAUGAAACACGUAUUUUGAAAAUUACAAAGGAUAGGGAUAAGAUAAUCAUCAAGGAAAGAUAAGCAUAAGCCGAGGCAACUCCUUUUCCAAUCCACUAGUAUUCCGAGAGCAAAAGGAUGGUGUAACCAAGGGUAUAACUCGAGAUUAACCAAUCCUUUUACUAGGAUAUCAUCCAAGACUAAAGAUUUGUGGCCUAGAAGUCUUCUCUUAAUAGAAAGCACACCUUUAUUCAAAAGUUUUCCAAGCAUAUGAUUACCUUGAUCAAAACUAGUAACACAAUUUGCAUCACACAAGCUCAAAGGAAUAUGUCCAAUAUCAUGGUCAAUAUUACAAGAAUGAACACUAACUUGAGAAUUUUGAAUCACAUCACUCACAUGGUCAAGUAGUGAACUAUCCAUAAGAGAAAAUUGACCAACAUAUGCAACAAGAGAACUACCAAGGAAAGAUUUAUGCCUUUCUACACUAUGUAAAACCGAAGCUACUUCACAUUGGAUACUAAUAUCCUUAUCACAACAUUUCAAGCAUAAUGAAGUGUAGAGUGUAGCAGUUAUACCUCGGUGUAUGCCAUAAUAUUCCACUUGUUUGGAUCUCUCGGCCAAGGAUGUCACUAGCUCAUUUCCCAUGUUAUCAUGUGGAACCCCUUUUUGAUCAUUAUUUGAUAGCAUAUGAACUUGAACCUAUACAUAAGAAGGAUCAAUGCUAGGAAAAGUGAUAGAAUGUGGGUUAGUGAGCAUCAAAUAUCCUUUGUGGGCAAAUCCCAUAAGCACAUUUUUCUUUUUCUUUCCUACUUCACUGCCCGCGGUUUUUCUUUCCCUUGCCCUCUUUUCUUCACAUUCUUCUUGUACCUGACCACUAAGUUUCUCUCCAUCUUGAGGCUUGAACUCAUUCUCCUUGGAUCCUAACUCUCCCUCUUUUUCUACUUAGAUGGGGUAUUUCUAGGUUAGUGUAGCUUGGGAAGGAGACAUUGGAUUUAGUAGAGUGUAGGGUCUUUGAAUUGGAGGAUUUUGGAGUGGAGGAUUCGGGUUUAGGGAUAGAAUUUUGGUUCCAAGUCCUCCUUGUGGAACUUGGUGGAGUGAAGAAUGGCUAGGUCUAUCUUGUUCUCGGCUUUGGGACUAAAGAUUGACUUGGUUUGUAGCACUUGGUGGAUACAAUAUUUGGUGCAAGGUUUCGGGAGUAAUAGUAGGUGAGGUGGUUUGAGGGGUAUGAGGUCGAGAAAUCCUUUGGCUUUCCAUCCUCUCCAACCUCUCACUCAUUAAGG